CUGGUCACAGAGUAUGGUGCCGAUGCUGAUCUAAGGGAAGGUGACUUGUCGAUGUAUGCACAUCGCUCAUUGCCAUUCCAGUACAAAAUUACGCGAUUUGUGCAAGAAUGUGACCAACUAUCACCUAGUGCAAGACCUAAUUGGAAGGAGCCUUCUGUGUGCUUGGUUGUUACCUGAUUCAAUAAAACUACCGCUAGGCUGAAAUUUUUUGCAACCUUCAUCAACUUUAAUGCCAUUCCACUGAGUACCCGUGUUCUGAGGGCUAAGUCAUCAAAAUCUUGGCGGAAGUGGAAAGUAAUGCUAUCAAUUAUAACAAUUUUAACAUCUCUAUGCUCUGUAAUGAAUUUGUCCAAGUAAUUAACCAGAGCAAUUUGCUCGGUA
Molecule: unclassified non-coding RNA, 381 nt
Filed under: Hevea brasiliensis (rubber tree)
Lineage: Eukaryota; Viridiplantae; Streptophyta; Magnoliopsida; Malpighiales; Euphorbiaceae
Source: RNAcentral